Molecule: long non-coding RNA, 200 nt
Filed under: Elaeis guineensis (African oil palm)
Lineage: Eukaryota; Viridiplantae; Streptophyta; Magnoliopsida; Arecales; Arecaceae
Description: long non-coding RNA (EGUI_LNC006905)
Source: RNAcentral
GAAAAGGAGAAACAUCCUUUCAAGAAGAACAAGUCUAAGCUGAAAUGUUAUAACUGUGAUAAAAAAGGUCAUUUUGCUUGUGAGUGUACUGAGCCAAAGAAGGUAAAAACCCUUGAUGAUAACAUUAAUAUUGUUUAUGUCUUUAGCUAUAUUUAUUUAACUAAAUCACAUCCUUUGUGAAUUAUAGACUCAAUCGCCAC